GAUGAACGCUGGCGGCGUGCCUAAUACAUGCAAGUCGAGCGAACGGACGAGAAGCUUGCUUCUCUGAUGUUAGCGGCGGACGGGUGAGUAACACGUGGAUAACCUACCUAUAAGACUGGGAUAACUUCGGGAAACCGUAGCUAAUACCGGAUAAUAUUUUGAACCGCAUGGUUCAAUAGUGAAAGACGGUCUUGCUGUCACUUAUAGAUGGAUCCGCGCUGCAUUAGCUAGUUGGUAAGGUAACGGCUUACCAAGGCAACGAUGCAUAGCCGACCUGAGAGGGUGAUCGGCCACACUGGAACUGAGACACGGUCCAGACUCCUACGGGAGGCAGCAGUAGGGAAUCUUCCGCAAUGGGCGAAAGCCUGGCGGAGCAACGCCGCGUGAGUGAUGAAGGUCUUCGGAUCGUAAAACUCUGUUAUUAGGGAAGAACAUAUGUGUAAGUAACUGUGCACAUCUUGACGGUACCUAAUCAGAAAGCCACGGCUAACUACGUG
RNAcentral lists this ribosomal RNA (497 nucleotides) under uncultured bacterium. RNAcentral describes it as "partial 16S ribosomal RNA". It matches the Rfam family "Bacterial small subunit ribosomal RNA", at positions 28 to 507 of the family's 1533-position model. The record is from RNAcentral.